AUGUUGAUCAGGAAGUUCUGGUGGGGAAGUAAGGAUGGACAUCGCAAACCACAUUGGGUCUCUUGGAAGGCUAUGACACAACCUAAAGGUAUGGGGGGUUUAGGCUUCAAAGAUUUUGAACUUUUAAAUCUAGCCAUUCUUGCCAGACAGACAUGGAGGCUUUUGCAGAACCCUGAGUCUCUAAGUGCCCUUAUUCUGAAAAGUAUCUACUACUCGGAGUCAUCGAUGUUGCAUGCAAAUCGUGAUAGCCACCCAAGUCAGAUCUGGCGAGCUAUUUUGGACGGUAGAGAUACUCUAAAACAAGGGUUGAUCAAGAGGAUAGGCAAUGAAGAGGACGCACACAUUUGGAAUGAUAAUUGCCUUCCUCGAGAUGAGUUGAUGCGACCGUAUGGGUGUUUGAUUCAAGACCCACCCACACAUAUUUCUGAAUUAAUUGAUGCCACCUCAGCUACGUGGGACAGACAACGACUGUAG
Molecule: ribosomal RNA, 474 nt
Filed under: Triticum aestivum (bread wheat)
Lineage: Eukaryota; Viridiplantae; Streptophyta; Magnoliopsida; Poales; Poaceae
Description: partial small subunit ribosomal RNA
Source: RNAcentral